AAGCCGUAUCGUUGUGAGAAACAUGGAGAGAGUCCAGAAACGUCGCAGGCUUCUUGAUGUUGAUGAAAUUCACCGUAAAGUGGCUUGUCUACCCUUCAAAACAGGAUAUGUACUUAUGCCUUUAUUGCACAGCAUGGAGCGAAAAGACUAAAAAAGGGAUGGCUUGGGUAAGGGCAGUGUGGCAAGAGAAGACAAGGCAAGAGGAAGGGACGGUGCCGGACAGCUGGGUGGACCCAAAGAACAUGUUAUUGUACUGGCCAAAUGUUGCAAAUGCAACAAGAUAUUUGAAGGAACGACGGCCACCAUCUGAUAGUUGGAGAAAGUUUCCACUUGUGAAAGAGAAGAUGAGAUCUGAUUACUUUAAAGAGUGUGACAACUGUGAACUCACAAGUAGUACAGAAGCUGAAGAAGGUUCACUGGAAGCAAAAAGAAGAAAAAUAUCGAAGAAAUUUGAAGACUGCUUGACAGAUCAUAGUUGUGACACUGAUCCACAAUUCGAAGAAGAAGAUAACCUUGGAAAUCGUCAGCUUCCUAACAGUAAUGAAGCAGAGCUAGAACUUCCUGUUGCUCCAAGGAAGGUGUGCAAGCUCUCCAAUGCAAGCUCUACAUCUUCUGUUUCAUCCAGGGGAUCAAGCUCUGGCUCUCCAUUGCCACUUCAAAAAAAGCAGACUUCAACAGCACAGGGUUGGCAAUCCUCUUACUUCCAACCUCAGUCUAAUCUUAGACCAAAAAGGUUUCUUCAGGUCCUUAUUUAAGUCCUAAAUUCAAUUUCAGAAAUAUUUUGUUUGAAAGUGAUUCAGGGCUCCAAACUGCGACUAAAACAGUCGCAUUUGCGACCAUAAAUAUUAAUUUGCGAGUGACGUUUUUGCUGAGGUCGCCACUGGCGACUACCCGCCGAAAGCUCCUCAGGAUUUAACCGCUAAAAAAAGUUUUCUCAGGCGGAUGAUUUGCUUCAUUCUAGCAGCGCCCCGUCUGUGAUAAAACGAACUCGGACCGAAGGUUAAUACACACACCUACACCGAGUGUGGAGCUGCCGCGUGUACCACCGCUUUCAGCCGAGA
Molecule: long non-coding RNA, 1061 nt
Organism: Cyprinus carpio carpio
Lineage: Eukaryota; Metazoa; Chordata; Actinopteri; Cypriniformes; Cyprinidae
Source: Ensembl